GUGCUCACUUCAGCAGCACAUAUAUUAAAAUUAGAAUGAUACAGAGAUAAGCAUGGCCCCUGAGCACAAACCUCUCUGUGCGAGAGGCAUUAUCUUAAA
Small nuclear RNA from Tupaia belangeri (northern tree shrew), 99 nucleotides. The record is from Ensembl. Lineage: Eukaryota; Metazoa; Chordata; Mammalia; Scandentia; Tupaiidae.